UCAGGCCUAACACAUGCAAGUCGAACGGUAACAGGGAGCUUGCUCCGCUGACGAGUGGCGAACGGGUGAGUAAUACAUCGGAACGUGCCCAGUAAUGGGGGAUAGCCCGGCGAAAGCCGGAUUAAUACCGCAUACGCCCUGAGGGGGAAAGUGGGGGACCGCAAGGCCUCACGUUAUUGGAGCGGCCGAUGGCUGAUUAGCUAGUUGGUGAGGUAAAGGCUCACCAAGGCGACGAUCAGUAGCUGGUCUGAGAGGACGACCAGCCACACUGGAACUGAGACACGGUCCAGACUCCUACGGGAGGCAGCAGUGGGGAAUUUUGGACAAUGGGGGCAACCCUGAUCCAGCAAUGCCGCGUGAGUGAAGAAGGCCCUCGGGUUGUAAAGCUCUAUUGUCAGGGAAGAAAAGGUUGUGGCUAAUAUCCGCGGCUGAUGAC
This 436-nucleotide ribosomal RNA is filed under the name uncultured bacterium. Its description in RNAcentral is "bacterial SSU rRNA". It matches the Rfam family "Bacterial small subunit ribosomal RNA", at positions 42 to 486 of the family's 1533-position model. The record is from RNAcentral.